This is a long non-coding RNA of Oryza sativa Japonica Group (Japanese rice), 3543 nucleotides long. RefSeq lists it as uncharacterized. NCBI's taxonomy places the organism in Eukaryota, Viridiplantae, Streptophyta, Magnoliopsida, Poales, Poaceae. The record is from RefSeq and is a predicted model, not a curated record.
UAAUCCCAUCGUCCAUCCGCCAUCUCAUCUGAUCUCAUCCAUUGAUCCUCCUCGUUGUAGGAAAUCACCACCAAUCCCACCGAUUCCUCUCCACCGCUCUUUCCGCCCGCGCGAUGAGUCCUCCGCGUGAAUCCUGCCACCUCCUCGCUCCGCUCGAAUCCCCGCUGCUGCCGCAGUGCACCACUGGACCAGCGCCAAUCCCCGCCGCCUCCUCGCUCCUCCUCUCUCUACUUGAAUCCUCGCUGCCGCCGCAGUCCACCGCUGGACCAGCGCCGCCGCUGCCGCGCCUCCAUCGCCGGACCACCUCACUCGCUGCUGCACCUCCUCGAGACUCCCCGCCACACGCCACCGCAUCGUGCCCCUCCGCUCCCAGGCCGGCGCUCACCUCGCUCCUCUGUUCACCAUCGCAGGGGUCGGUGAGCUGGUGAAAGCCCCCGUAAGACCAAGGAUUGUGGCUUCCGUGACGACCCCAACUCCAUUGUGCCCCACGAUUUUGACUCCCUCUGCCUGAACGGUGACCCUUACCCGUCUGAUCUCUGAUUCAAGGAACUCUCUUAUAUUAUUUGGAUUAUGGGAGCUUCCUGUUCAUCUUUGCAAGCUGAUUACUCUGACCACAAUCAAGUCAGGGUGGAUUGUCUGAACAUGGAGUACUGCAAUGGUCUGGUCAACCUAUUGCAUAUUUGCGUUGCAGCUUCUAGCUAUCCCAAUUGAUGUACCCCUUAAAUUAAUCGUGUAUUUGAUUGGGGGAUAUAUGCGUGACUUCGAUUGCCACAUAUAAAAAAAGGGCGGAAAUAUAUCCACACAAACAAGGUACACUAUGCUUGCUCUCAAAUAAAAAAUGAUUCCUUUAUUUAGUGAUUAUGCUCUCCCUCUAGAAGUCAUUAUGUACAAUUCCAUUCGUUUGCAAGAUAUUCAAUGGAAUUUCUAUGUGAAUUAAUUGUUGUGAGUAUGAAGGUGCAGUUGACAAAGGUCAAGGAGAAUUGGUGAACUAAUCAGUACAACAACUAUUUUUUUUCGACCGGAAAUACUGCCAGGACUUUGUCCCGCAGUGUAAUUUUAUAAAAUGAAAAGGUUAUUUACAAAUUACAGAAUAAUAAAAACAAAAAAAGAUCAAAGUAUCACACUGUUUGUAACCAAUCAGAAACAGUCUGUUUUAGUGGAUCCUUCAUUCUGCACAAAUGCAGAAGAACCUCGGCUUUGAAAAAAGCCCUCCAAGAACUGAACGAGGGAAGCUCAUUGCGAAAAAUUUUCCCAUUCCUUUGCUUCCAAAUAUGCCAAGCAGCAAUGAAGAAAACUUCCAAGAAACCUCUCUGAUUGAACCGAAUGCGAGCCAAAACCACCAUCUGAAAAAAAUCCAGGUUAGGAUUCCAUGUAAUCCCAAAUGUUGCCAGCAAAGUUGACUGAAAGGGCAGAAGAAAAAAAGAUGUUCUCUUGUCUCUCUAAUAUUAUUCCGGCAUAAUUCAUAAGUGAGGUCAUCAUUUUCCUUUGCACAAUGUUGCCUAUCCAGCAUAUCUCUUGUGUUAAGUCUGUCUCUGAAUAAAAGCCAAGCAAAAACCUUAAUCUUCAUUACACAUUUCGUUUUCCAGAUCCAGACAAAAGGCCUCGGCACAUGCACAUUUGAGUAUGUGAGCUUAUAAAAUUAGUUGUGUAUUUGUCAGAGUUCUAGAUGAAAGACCAUUCAUGACCAAUGCCGUUCUGCAAAGAGAGAGAAGACCAUUCCUCUUCUAAAACAGUGAAUUCUCCAUAAGCCUGAGUGAUCAGAGGCAGUAAAAAACAAUCCUCAAGAGGAGUAGAACCCAUUUGCUUAACAGAGAGAGUUUUAUCUAAGGCAACCAUAUAUAAAGAUGGAAAAGCAUUGCUUCUUAUCUUAUCAUUCCAAAUGUCAUCCCAGAAAAGAACUGAGGAUCCAGUCCUGAUACGGCAGCUUGAGAUUCCCCUGAAAACAUCAGUCAGAGCCACUAUAUCCCUCCACCAAAAGGAUCCUUUAUUCCAAACUAAAUGUGGCACUUUGGAGUUAUAAUAUGAAUUCCAUAUCAGUUGAACCCAUGGCAGAUCAUGUCCUUUGUAAAAUUUGACUAGAUGUUUAAGCAGAAGCGCUAUAUUCUGAACCCUUAGAUUGAUAACUCCUAGUCCACCUUUAUCCUUUGGUAUGCACACUAGAUCCCAAGAGGCUAGAGAUCUUCUGGUUGAAGUUGGAUUGUUUCCCCUCCAAAGGCAAUUUUUCCUUGCAGUGUCAAUAGCUUUUACCACUGAAACAGUCAGCUGCAAAGAACACAUGUAGUAUGUUGGGAUUGAGGAAAGCACUGAGUUUAUCAAUGUGAGUCUUUCACCAGUGGCAGAAAUUAUGAGCUUGCUGUUAAUCUUCUUUCUACCCUGUCUACCAAGGGUGCAAAGUCCACUACCCUUGGUCUAGUUGUUCCUAUGGGCAAACCCAGAUAAGUAAAAGGCAUUGUGCCUAUGGUGCACCCAAGCAGACCAGCAAAAAGCACUGCAUUCUCAUGAGAUAAAUUAAUUGGGUAAAGACAGGACUUAUGGUAAUUCACUUUGAGGCCAGUAGAGUGUGCAAAAGAAUUCAACAAUGCCUUGAAACAGAACACCUCUCUCUGCGAAGCUUUGAGAAGAAUUAAUGUGUCAUCAGCAUAUUGUAUUACUAGGAAACCCUUCUCAUCAAGUUCAUUAAUUGGCUUGGUCAACAGACCUAAGGAUCAAGCUUUGUUAACUAUUCUCUGCAACAAUUCAGCACCAAGAACAAAAAGCAGUGGUGAGAGUGGAUCUCCUUGCCUAACCCCCCUUUUGCAUUUAAAAGAGUUUCCAGGCACCCCAUUAAGUAGUACUGAAGAAUGUGCCGAAGAAAAAAUCAUCUGUAUCCACUGUAGCCAUUUUUCAGGAAACCCCAUGCAUUUCAUAAUGGAUAUCAAGGUGGAGUGCUCUAUAUCAAAAGCUUUCUCAAAGUCAAGCUUUAGCAAUAUAAUUUCUCUCUUUGACUGUUGGCAUUGAUGAAUAUAUUCAAAAGACCAUGCUAAGCAGUCUUGAAUCGUUCUGCCUUUGAUAAAACCAUAUUGGUUUUCAUGGACCAGUUUGGGCAUUACACUCUGUAACCUAUCUGCCAUCAAUUUGUUUAUGAACUUUAAACUGAUGCCCAUACUGAAAUUGGCCUGUAAUCAUUGACUAUUUCUGGAGAGGACUUUUUUGGCACUAAGGUUAUGUAAGAGAUGUUUAGCGGCUGCAGAUCAGUAUAGCAAGCAUGAAAGUGAGCUGCUAACCUGUAAAAGUCCUGUGAUAUGAUUUGCCAACAUUUCUUAAGAAAAAACCCAUUAAACCCAUCUGGGCCAGGUGCUUUGUCUGAUGGAAUAACCUUAAUAAGGCUAUCCAUGUCCUGAGUGUAGAACUGAUCCACCAAACAAUCCAAGUUUUCCGGAUUAGGGAAGAGAUCCCUCAGAUCAAAGUCCAUUGGAGGCAAGAGUGAAAUCCCCAUUCUGUUUUCGAAACUAUGAAAAAACAGAUCUGCUUUGUGAUUGUAUCCAGUGGCUACUUGCCCAUGCU